CCCCUAAAUAAUUCACCGAAGUUGGGACUUCGACACAGUUUUUCCGUAGUGCCGGAAAAAUUUGUCAAAAUCCGAUUCUUCCUCUUUUAACCGCCUCUACAACCCUUAUCCGACCCCUCUGGACUAUAUCCACCCUUUGUAUAGCCUAAUGUCAUCAAAAGACUAGAUAGAGAUGGAUAUUUACCUUUUUUUUUGGUAAAUCGAGGUCCUUGCGUAGAGGGGAAGGAGAUCUACGUUUUUCCCUUCAGCUGGAAGUGCAACCGGGAUCCCUCUCCUCCUCGAAUCUCCUUCCUCUUCUUCUUUCUUCUUCUUCUUCUUCUCUUUUUUUUUCUUUCUCUCUGUGUUUCCACGCCUGAGACCUCCUCUCCCUCUC
Molecule: long non-coding RNA, 373 nt
Filed under: Phoenix dactylifera (date palm)
Lineage: Eukaryota; Viridiplantae; Streptophyta; Magnoliopsida; Arecales; Arecaceae
Description: long non-coding RNA (PDAC_LNC014786)
Source: RNAcentral